RNAcentral lists this ribosomal RNA (468 nucleotides) under uncultured bacterium. RNAcentral's name for it is "partial 16S ribosomal RNA". It matches the Rfam family "Bacterial small subunit ribosomal RNA", at positions 28 to 507 of the family's 1533-position model. The record is from RNAcentral.
GACGAACGCUGGCGGCGUGCUUAACACAUGCAAGUCGAACGGAAAGGCCCUGCUUUUGUGGGGUGCUCGAGUGGCGAACGGGUGAGUAACACGUGUGUAACCUGCCCUUGACUUUGGGAUAACUUCAGGAAACUGGGGCUAAUACCGGAUAGGAUCUCCUGCUCCACGGUGGGGGUUGGAAAGAUUCGGCGGUUGUGGAUGGACUCGCGGCUUAUCAGCUUGUUGGUGGGGUAGUGGCUUACCAAGGCUUUGACGGGUAGCCGGCCUGAGAGGGUGACCGGCCACAUUGGGACUGAGAUACGGACCAGACGCCUACGGGAGGCAGCAGUCGGGAAUAUUGCACAAUGGGCGGAAGCCAGAUGCAGCAACGCCGCGUGCGUGAUGACGGCCUUCGGGUUGUAAACCGCUUUCGCCUGAGACGAAGCCUGAGUGACGGUAAUGGGUAAAGAAGCACCGGCUAACUACGUG